GAAAGAUGAAAAGAACUUUGAAAAGAGAGUUAAACAGUACGUGAAAUUGUUGAAAGGGAAACGAUUGAAGUCAGUCAUACCAACGGGAAAUCAACCUUUUGAGCUCGGUCUCGUGGGUUUUGAAGAGUUUCAAAGCCUUCGGAUUCGCGGGAUUGGGAUCUCUCGGUGUACUUUUUCGUACGGUUAGUCAACAUCGGUUUUGAAUGUCAUAAAAUGACUGGAGGAAUGUAGCUUCGAUCUCGUAUUGAAGUGUUAUA
Molecule: ribosomal RNA, 257 nt
Filed under: uncultured Funneliformis
Lineage: Eukaryota; Fungi; Glomeromycota; Glomeromycetes; Glomerales; Glomeraceae
Description: partial large subunit ribosomal RNA
Rfam family: Eukaryotic large subunit ribosomal RNA
Source: RNAcentral